GAUGAACGCUGGCGGCGUGCCUAAUACAUGCAAGUCGAGCGAACGGACGAGAAGCUUGCUUUUCUGAUGUUAGCGGCGGACGGGUGAGUAACACGUGGAUAACCUACCUAUAAGACUGGGAUAACUUCGGGAAACCGGAGCUAAUACCGGAUAAUAUUUUGAACCGCAUGGUUCAAAAGUGAAAGACGGUCUUGCUGUCACUUAUAGAUGGAUCCGCGCUGCAUUAGCUAGUUGGUAAGGUAACGGCUUACCAAGGCAACGAUGCAUAGCCGACCUGAGAGGGUGAUCGGCCACCCUGGAACUGAGACACGGUCCAGACUCCUACGGGAGGCAGCAGUAGGGAAUCUUCCGCAAUGGGCGAAAGCCUGACGGAGCAACGCCGCGUGAGUGAUGAAGGUCUUCGGAUCGUAAAACUCUGUUAUUAGGGAAGAACAUAUGUGUAAGUAACUGUGCUCAUCUUGACGGUACCUAAUCAGAAAGCCACGGCUAACUACGUG
This 497-nucleotide ribosomal RNA is filed under the name uncultured bacterium. Its description in RNAcentral is "partial 16S ribosomal RNA". It matches the Rfam family "Bacterial small subunit ribosomal RNA", at positions 28 to 507 of the family's 1533-position model. The record is from RNAcentral.